UCCGGUUGAUCCUGCCAGAGGUUACUGCUAUCGGUGUUCGCCUAAGCCAUGCGAGUCAUAUGUUCUUCGUGAACAUGGCGUACUGCUCAGUAACACGUGGAUAACCUGCCCUUGGGUCCGGCAUAACCCCGGGAAACUGGGGAUAAUUCCGGAUAACGCAUAUAUGCUGGAAUGCUUUAUGCGUCAAAUGGAUUCGUCUGCCCAAGGAUGGGUCUGCGGCCUAUCAGGUAGUAGUGGGUGUAAUGUACCUACUAGCCAACAACGGGUACGGGUUGUGAGAGCAAGAGCCCGGAGAUGGAUUCUGAGACAUGAAUCCAGGCCCUACGGGGCGCAGCAGGCGCGAAAACUUUACAAUGCGGGAAACCGUGAUAAGGGGACACCGAGUGCUAGCAUCAUAUGCUGGCUGUCCAGGUGUGUAAACUACACCUGUUAGCAAGGGCCGGGCAAGACCGGUGCCAGCCGCCGCGGUAACACCGGCGGCCCGAGUGGUGAUCGUGAUUAUUGGGUCUAAAGGGUCCGUAGCCGGUUUGGUCAGUCUUCCGGGAAAUCUGAUAGCUCAACUAUUAGGCUUUCGGGGGAUACUGCCAGGCUUGGAACCGGGAGAGGUAAGAGGUACUACAGGGGUAGGAGUGAAAUCUUGUAAUCCCUGUGGGACCACCUGUGGCGAAGGCGUCUU
This 676-nucleotide ribosomal RNA is filed under the name unidentified archaeon. RNAcentral describes it as "bacterial SSU rRNA". It matches the Rfam family "Archaeal small subunit ribosomal RNA", at positions 1 to 678 of the family's 1478-position model. The record is from RNAcentral.